RNAcentral lists this ribosomal RNA (451 nucleotides) under uncultured bacterium. Its description in RNAcentral is "partial 16S ribosomal RNA". It matches the Rfam family "Bacterial small subunit ribosomal RNA", at positions 354 to 796 of the family's 1533-position model. The record is from RNAcentral.
GUGGGGAAUUUUGCGCAAUGGGGGAAACCCUGACGCAGCAACGCCGCGUGAGUGAUGAAGGCCUUCGGGUCGUAAAGCUCUGUCAGAGGGGAAGAAAUGCAGGGGUGCUAAUAUCAUCUUUGCUUGACGGUACCCUCAAAGGAAGCACCGGCUAACUCCGUGCCAGCAGCCGCGGUAAUACGGAGGGUGCGAGCGUUGUUCGGACUUAUUGGGCGUAAAGCGCGUGUAGGCGGUUUGGUAAGUCUGAUGUGAAAGCCCCGGGCUCAACCUGGGAAGUGCAUUGGAAACUGUCAGACUUGAAUACGGGAGAGGGUAGUGGAAUUCCUAGUGUAGGAGUGAAAUCCGUAGAUAUUAGGAGGAACACCGGUGGCGAAGGCGGCUACCUGGACCGAUAUUGACGCUGAGACGCGAAAGCGUGGGGAGCAAACAGGAUUAGAAACCCUAGUAGUCC